This 3295-nucleotide unclassified non-coding RNA is filed under the name Hevea brasiliensis (rubber tree). Lineage: Eukaryota; Viridiplantae; Streptophyta; Magnoliopsida; Malpighiales; Euphorbiaceae. The record is from RNAcentral.
GCCAUUUUAAAUUAAAUAGUUUGGAUAUGAAAGCUAUUUAGUACAAUUAAAUAAAAGCAAUUGCAAGAUUGCUCUAAAAAGUCUUUGGGUGCUCCAUUGGUUGUCUGCGAUAGAAAGUCCAUGACAAAUAAAAUGAUGACCAGGAACCCUACACUAAUUAUCUUGACCUUUCCACCCGGGGGUCUGGUUUUAAAUGAUUACAACACCCUUGCUCCAAUGCUCGCAAAUAGCGUUAUCCUAAAUCAAAAGUUCAACUCGCAUGAUAUCCAAGUUUACUGCUACAUAUCCAAGUUGUCAUUUACAGAGUCCAGAAAAAGUUCAAUCAAAGCUGGGCGAAAAGCAGUUGUUUUGGUGCUGCAUUUUUCCACUUGACAACUAAAUGGUGAGAACAUGGCAAGAGAUUUUACCUCGUAGCAGCUCUUGCACUCAUGGAUGAAUGGUAGUUAGUGCUUCGUUGUUUCCUAUAAGAUUUGUAAACAUCAUCGUAUUGACUUGCCUCAUUAGGGUCAGCCACUGCCCCAAGCCCCAACCUUCCCGUGCCCGUAGAUCCUGGUUUCCGCUCCACACUCCCAUCAGCGUAAGCCCCAGUCUCUGGGUCAACAUGUAAGUUAGGGGGUGGAGGGAUGCAAGCUCCUCCUUUACGAAUGGGAGUAUCUCUCUCAUGCUCAUCCUCCUCAUCUUUCGAAUGAGACUUUAUAACUCCCUCAAAUGGGUUAAUCUCUCCAAUCUCUUUAAAGAAUUUUGACACUCUCUCUAAAAUUUCUGAUGGGGAUACGCUAGAUGGGGGUAUAACUGUUGGGAUGUCCAAAGGACUCAAAGGAGAGUAGGGCACCCCACUGCCAAUCUGCAUCUUUUUAACCAUGCCAGGAAUAAGACCAGGCGGGAACAAUGGAUAUGGCGGUAACUUUUCACCAGCAUUAGCAGGAGGUGUCUGCAAAUGUGGUGCAGGCUGUUGAUUGGCUGGUUGAACGGAAGAAUUUACUGGCAAGGACCCUGGAAAAGUUCCAGCAGGGACUGAAUUUGGCAUAAAUUGUUGGUUUCCUAGGGAUUGUGGAAUAGCUAAGGCCACUUGUUUAUCAUGAUGAUCCUGUUCUGCUACACUUUGCCUAUCAGGCUGCCAUUGUGGAGCAUUAUAGUUUGUUGGUUCAUAUGUAAAGCCUGUAGCAGCCAAGGAAUCCGCUGAAGCAUUAGUUAAUUCUUUUGGAGGCCCAGGAAAAGAAUUUGCUGGUAGUCCACCCACCAUCUCAACUUUAAGUACAUAAAUAUUUUCUUGAUCAUAAACUUCCUUGGAAGCCCAGAAAUGCAGAAUUUUCUGUAACCGUAGCUGAUUUUCAUCCUUAUUUUGAGGGUUGUGAUAGACUCUCGCAAGCAUGGGACCCAGAACUGGCUUAAAUGCAAGGGCCUCAUUAUCAAGUUCAUGGAGGUUGACCCUCCUCUGCAAACUGUCAAAAAGAAUAUCAUUAGCGAGAUAAAUAAUAUGCAGUUGCCUUUCAGAAUCAUCUAGAGCAAAAACCCUGUCCCUUAGUGCCUCAGCAAGAGCAGGUGCAAAUGGAGACCUUUGCAUAAACCAAAUUUUGGCACCUUUAAUAGACUCCUUGGUUCCAUUGAGACUGUUAAGAACAUUACUCAGCUCCAGUGCAACAUCAGGAGGAAGUGGAUCAGAAAGACCUUUAAAGGACUUGGAUGGCUGAUCAAAAUGUAGACGUCCACGAGCCCCAAAGGCCUGAGAAUGCUGAUGUUGAUGCUGCUGUGUAUCAUAAAAAGGAGGAAAAGGAGGUUGGUGCAUUGGAGUACCCACCAUUGAGGCUGAAGGCCCAACAGCGGGAUUCAUCAUUGGGUUUGGCGGGGGAUGCAUCAUUGGCAUAGAAGAAGGAGGGAAAGGAGGGUUGAAUGGCCCAGCUGGGGGAUGUGUAGAUAACCAAAGCUUGUAACGAUAGUAGUUAUGGCCCUCACCCCCAAAGAGGAAACUAUAAGCAGGAUUAUCCUGCUGCUUUUCACGGAUCAUGGCUUCAAAUUCAGGGCCAUUCUUGGUGGCAUACUCUACAAGUUUGUCGAUACGUUUUUGGAGCUCUGUAUCAGAUGGAGGAGCAGCUGGAGGUGGAGUGGAGUCGUAAUGGCCAUGGAAAGGAGAAGGAUAGAGUUGAGGGGGUACAUGGGGAGGGAAAGGAUGGGGAGGAUGUUGUUGAUGAAGAAGGUGUGGAUGGGGAGGAGUGUGAGGAUGGAGCUGAGGUUGCUGCUGCUGCACGUGGUGUGGGUAAGGGAAUUGUUGCAUGGAAUGAUGCGGAGACAUAAAUGGAGGUGGAGAAAACUGCUGAUGUUGAGAAUGAAAUCCAAAUUGUGGCUGUUGCGGUUGAAUAUUGGCAGUUAGACAUUGCUGCUGGGCAAAUGCCAUAGCUGGGGCUGCUGCUGUUGCAUAAUCAUGAGCUUGUCGGUCCAUCAACGUAAUAUGAUAUCCAACUGUUUGUCACUUUUCAAUAAACAUAUCAUGGAGUACCAUAAGAUUAUUAAUAUCACAACCCCAUUUACAUGUCAGAUUAUAUUAUUACCGCAAUGAGAAAGCCUGUAUAUAUAAUUUAGUAGAAACCAGAAGAUUAAAGAAUAGAAAAAAAUAAUAAUAAGGAACACACAUUUUAGUCAAUUUUCAAAGGCUUCAAUUUGGCUGUUUUCUGACAUUUGCAAUAAAAGAUAAGCAAAAAAUGGAAAACAGUAAUUGAUAAAAUAAAUGCAUUAAACUUGAUGUUGAAAAACAUGAGAUCAUAUAUAUAAUAUUAUAUUUAUAUAUAAGUGAAUAUUUCCCACACUUUGAAUAUACUGGUUGUUUAAAAGCAGUUAAUUAGAUUAUCCUAAAGGAUUAUUGCAGACAUAAUUCAUGACUGUUCAAACACUAUAAAUAAGGGAUUUAUGUAUCUUUUACAAUCCUUCAACCUUAUUUACUGCAGAAUGUGUGAUUAAUACCCUCAUAGGAUAACACACAAAAACUUAAUGUUCUUCUUUUAUUCAGGAAUUAUAUUGUGCAACAUUUAUGCAAGUUGUAACCUAAACACUUGAAUAAACAUGCGUAUUUAAAGUAAUUUUGAUAUCCUAUUUGAAAUCCAAAGAGAAAUCUAGACACACUGCAUUUCUUAACAUACUGAGCAAGAAAGAAUAAUCUGAGCUAAUGAAAGAGUUUGCAUGUCUAUAGAUUGAGAGCAAUCAGCCAGUCAAUCCAUCAAUCAAUCAAAUUAUCCUACAGGCGAGGUUUGCACAGAGAGGGAGAUGGCGAUUUACAAAAGCUAAAGAAAGUAAGAUUACUGAA